RNAcentral lists this ribosomal RNA (460 nucleotides) under uncultured bacterium. RNAcentral's name for it is "partial 16S ribosomal RNA". It matches the Rfam family "Bacterial small subunit ribosomal RNA", at positions 338 to 795 of the family's 1533-position model. The record is from RNAcentral.
CCUACGGGUGGCAGCAGUGAGGAAUAUUGGUCAAUGGGCGAGAGCCUGAACCAGCCAAGUAGCGUGAAGGAUGAAGGCUCUAUGGUUUGUAAACUUCUUUUAUAUGGGAAUAAAGUGAGGCACGUGUUCCUUUUUGUAUGUACCCUAUGAAUAGGCAUCGGCUAACUCCGUGCCAGCAGCCGCGGUAAUACGGAGGAUGCGAGCGUUAUCCGGAUUUAUUGGGUUUAAAGGGUGCGUAGGUGGUUAAUUAAGUCAGCGGUGAAAGUUUGGGGCUCAACCAUAAAAUUGCCGUUGAAACUGGUUGACUGGAGUUGAGUGGAGGUAGGCGGAAUGCGGGGUGUAGCGGUGAAAUGCAUAGAUAUAGCGCAGAACUCCGAUUGCGAAGGCAGCUUACCAAACUAGAACUGACACUGAGGCACGAAAGCGUGGGGAUCAAACAGGAUUAGAUACCCUUGUAGUC